Long non-coding RNA from Papaver somniferum (opium poppy), 1139 nucleotides. RefSeq lists it as uncharacterized. Lineage: Eukaryota; Viridiplantae; Streptophyta; Magnoliopsida; Ranunculales; Papaveraceae. The transcript is spliced from 2 exons. The record is from RefSeq and is a predicted model, not a curated record.
UGCUUCUCUCCAGAACUUUAUGAAUAAAAACAUAUUAUGAUUCAACAUUGAUUUUCAAGAGAGAGAGAGAGAGAGAUCAGCAACAGCAAGUGAGGAACAAGAAGCCAUCCUUAUUGUUGAGGGUACAAGAAAAAAAUUGAAGGCAUCAGACUGCUGUGUGGGUGUCAUUUGUUUGUUUGGUUAGAAAUACCAAGAAAAACACUUAACCACUGGUCCCACUACCACUCACUAGCAAUGUUUUUCUCUCUGAGGAAUGAAUGAAAAACAAGACAGAAGAAACUAAUUAAGCCUUUUUUUCUCCUAUUUUCUAUUACCACAACUGCAAGAGAGAAGGAAGAUAAUAAUUGUAGUAACACAAAGGACAGGAGUCAUUCAAAGCUCUUGAAAAUCUUUCUCAAUCACAAUCAAGGCAUGGAAUGGGACCUCAUAAGACAUGUUCCCCCACCCCAUGUAUUCAUUAUUGGAGGACAAGGGUCUUAACAAAACUUCCUCUCUCCCUGUGAGUGUCUUUGAUCUUUCAUCUAUUUAUUUAGUCUCUCUGCACUUCCAGUAGGAGCUAACUAAUUUGCUUUCAUUUUGAGUUCCAAAAAAAAGAAAAAUGAAAGCUUCGAGUUCCAUUACCUUGUGCUUCUUAGUAACUUUGAUCUUCGUUCUCUCAUCUCCAACCAUUACAAUACUAGCUUCUUCCUCUUCUUCUUCUACUUCUUCAGUGUUGCUGCAGACAGGAAAAACAAGUGUGAGAAAGCUAGGCAAUCAUCAACAAGACAAGCUAAAUAUCAAGGUCAUGAACACGCAAUCUGAUAUCAUCCAAGGAGUUCCAGCAGAAGCUGAGGACAAUGGCGAAGAGCUUGUUUAUCAUGUUGAUUACCAUGGAGUUUCCACACACCCAACUCCUACUCCAAAACAUCCCAGACCAUAGAAAAGAAGUUAACUGUAUGUGAAGGGAGAGACAAAAAGAUCCCUUCAACUUAGAAUGUAUCAUAUUUUAUUCUUUUUGGUAUAAGAAUGUAGUUCAUAUAUUUCAAUGGAAUGGAUUUUUCCGUCGUGCCGUUGUGCCCUCAAAGCUAUUCUACAGAUGUACCAACCACCAUGUAACAUUUCUAUUAUAAGCUGUAGCAUAAUAAUGUGAAUAAUUCUCC